UUUUUUACAAACCCUUGUGUGGAGAUCUGACUUUCAAUAGAUCGCAGCGAGGGAGCUGCUCUGCUACGUACGAAACCCCGACCCAGAAGCAAGUCGUCUACGAAUGGUUUAGCGCCAGGCCAACCGAGGCGCCGCGGGGCUGCCGUAUCGUUCCGCCUGGGCGGGAUUCUGACUUAAGAGGCGUUCAGUCAUAAUCCCACAGAUGGUAGCUUCGCCCCAUUGGCUCCUCAGCCAAUG
This 237-nucleotide long non-coding RNA is filed under the name Homo sapiens (human). RNAcentral's name for it is "HSALNT0371520". Lineage: Eukaryota; Metazoa; Chordata; Mammalia; Primates; Hominidae. The record is from RNAcentral.